GCACAAAACCCAGCUUUGGGCUUUAACUUAGAAACAUGGAAUUUCUAUCAACUGGCUAAUUCAAGUGAGUAGUAGUUCACUGUAAGUUCAACUUGAUUUUGCUUUCUCAAUUCUUCUUCCUCUCUUUACCUUGUUCGUUCGUUGCUUAUAUGGUUAUUGGUGCACUUUUCAAAUUUGAUCUGAUGCCUGAGACUCUCUACCUAGCAGUGAACUUGUUAGAUUGCUAAUAGAAAGGAAAUGUGUAGUUGAUCGGUCUCACUGCAUUUUUGCUCGCACCUAAGUAGGAGGACUAUUGGCAUCACAGGGUAGAGAUAUUAUGAUUUAUACACAUGUACUGUUUUUCAAACUAGUACAAUCAGUAUCUUCUCUCUAUCCGUUCAGAUCACAGAUUUCAUUAGCAUCUCAAACUUGUUUUGAGAUUGUUUGGUCAUGAGCUUUUGCUUACCUGAAUCUUACAGGGGAGCGUAGCCAAAAUGAUUAACUUUUUCUUUGCAUCCCUCCGUACAAAAGGUAAAAAUCUCUGGCUUAUGAUUCCUUUUAUGUGUGUGCUUAUCUGUAAAUGAUCUACUUAUUCUAGAUUUAGUGUUUUACUUCAUAUGGGUGACUUCAAAUCUGCAUCAACACUCUUGUUCAUCACCCACACUGAAUAUAUAGAAAUAUGGCUUCUUUGGAUUACGCCAAGUUGUCCUACUUAGAUAUUCCCUUUGAGAUUAAGAGAGAAUUGAACCUAGUAUAUUAUGAUGGCAUGGCAUACAUUGUGUCUGGUUUCAAGGGAUAUAAUUUCGCUUGAUCGUAAAGACAAAUCAUCAAUGUGUUUUACAUAACAAAACAACUGUAAGGAAUUCUGUUUACAUUCAAUAGGCAAGUUGUACAAGCUCAUGAGUAUUCUUGGUUCCCUACCCUCUUUGAUAUCUAAGUCAACCACAUCUACUCAUAUGCAUAUGCCUGCACACAUAGAUAUAUGUAUUGUAUCUUCAAUGUAACAGUAUAUAUAUAUACACCUGAGUGUGACCUAAUGGCAUUAUGAGCAUGGGACGAAAUGGUCUUGCACAAGCAUUUGCUCUUCUUGCUUGUCUAGUGUCCUUUGCACUGCUUUGUAGAACUCAAUCCAAGAAGAUGAGUAUGAAUCCAUGGCGCCAAACAUGAAAGUUGGAUUGGGACUUGCAGGGCAAGCGGUGACCAUAUCCAAAACAGAAGUGGCAGGUUUGAGCUGGUGAGGGAAGUUGAAGGCCAAGUUAUCGACCUUAUGCUCAUAGAUUUUGCCAUUUCGGUCGAGUUUAUAGCGAGAAGUACCCUGAAACUCUCCCUUUGCCUCCCAUGGGACUCUAGGUACACCUUUAAGAUUCCACCUGAUGAGAAUCAUGUUCUCUGAUGGUUGCCAAACCCUGAAGAUCUCAAGUGAGAUAUCCCUGAAGAGAAUCUUGCCAUGAAAUCUAAGUGCCCAGAAGAUCAAUUUGUAGUUGUCAAUCCCAGAGAACGUGUUCAUUGGAUCCACUAAUGUUAUAUCAUCCCUGAAAGAGGAAACACAAAUGCUUUCAUUGACAGGUUUAAGGAAGGAAUCACCUAAAGGAGAAAGAGGAAAACACACCUGUAAAUGUCGUAAUUGAGAUCUUUGGUGAAGAGGAGAGGCAAAUCUUCGCGAAGGGAGGAGGAGCCUGGACGCUAAAGAGAGAAAGUGGAGAGAGACUAUCUUCUUCAAACUCGUAGCUAUUGGACGAUGAUGAUGAUGAUGAUAAAGCUUGGUUGGAAAUGGGUUUCUCUUUGAGUGAUUUUCCGGUCGGAAGAAGGAAAGAAGGAGAGAGAUUGGGGAGAAGAAACGCCAUAGCUGCUGGAUUUUAGAGCUUCUCUUGUUCUUUUGUUGUUGUUUUGUCUUAAUUUUUCAAGGCGACUUAAGAGAAUCAGAGGGAGAGGAUGACGAGUUGAGAAGAGCGAAGAUGCACGAAGAAGCUUUGUUGGAAGAUAAACAGCUGCUCGUUUUUUGAGUGGUAAUCAAACCUUCGCGUUGUAUUUUUUCUUUUCUUUAUUUUGACUUCUAAUAUUUUUAUGUUUCUUACUUUUUAUUUGAUAUCUAUAUAUAUUUAUAUUUCUC
This 2089-nucleotide long non-coding RNA is filed under the name Arabidopsis thaliana (thale cress). Its description in RNAcentral is "ncRNA (AT1G09863)". The record is from RNAcentral. Lineage: Eukaryota; Viridiplantae; Streptophyta; Magnoliopsida; Brassicales; Brassicaceae.